RNAcentral lists this ribosomal RNA (501 nucleotides) under uncultured bacterium. Its description in RNAcentral is "partial 16S ribosomal RNA". It matches the Rfam family "Bacterial small subunit ribosomal RNA", at positions 29 to 523 of the family's 1533-position model. The record is from RNAcentral.
AUUGAACGCUGGCGGCAUGCCUUACACAUGCAAGUCGAACGGCAGCACGGGUGCUUGCACCUGGUGGCGAGUGGCGAACGGGUGGGUAAUGCAUCGGAACGUACCUUAUCGUGGGGGAUAACGCAGCGAAAGUUGCGCUAAUACCGCAUACGCCCUGAGGGGGAAAGCGGGGGAUCGAAAGACCUCGCGCGAUUAGAGCGGCCGAUGCCUGAUUAGCUUGUUGGUGGGGUAAAAGCCCACCAAGGCGACGAUCAGUAGCUGGUCUGAGAGGACGAUCAGCCACACUGGGACUGAGACACGGACCAGACUCCUACGGGAGGCAGCAGUGGGGAAUUUUGGACAAUGGGGGCAACCCUGAUCCAGCAAUGCCGCGUGAGUGAAGAAGGCCUUCGGGUUGUAAAGCUCUUUUGUCAGGGAAGAAACACCGGCUCUAACACAGUCCGGGAAUGACGGUACCUGAAGAAUAAGCACCGGCUAACUACGUGCCAGCCGCCGCAGUAA